UUUUCCCAUUCUUCUCUCGUGUUCUUCCUCUCCUAAAUUUCUAUUCUCUCUCUUCUCAUCUUUCUCAAAUCCUGUUCUCUUCUAUCAAUCUUAUCCUCUCUUCCAUUUCUCAAAUGAUUUAGUGCUGCUGCAUAAGUUCUAGAUCGUGUCCUAAACUUCAAUUUGAAUUCCAUUUUCAGUAUAGUAUGGCACAAGCUUGGAUGUUCUCGUGGUGUGUUCCUUGAUUUCCUCGGCAGAAUCUUGCUUCCCUUUUGUGUACCCUCUGUAUUUCGCAGAUCCCUCUUUGAUUGAUCUAGUUUCCUUUUCGCUCUUCCUCUUCAAUCUUUUGUUACUUUCUUUGUGUGUGAUCUUUGUUUUCCUUUUUCGCUCUUCACCUUUUGUAUGUGCUGCAAUGCAUAAAAUUACAAUUAGAUGUAUUGUUAUCAUUAAAAGUGAGUUCUAACAA
Molecule: long non-coding RNA, 445 nt
Organism: Lycium ferocissimum
Lineage: Eukaryota; Viridiplantae; Streptophyta; Magnoliopsida; Solanales; Solanaceae
Exons: 2
Source: RefSeq, a predicted model, not a curated record